UACGUAGGGUGCAAGCGUUGUCCGGAAUUAUUGGGCGUAAAGAGCUCGUAGGCGGCUUGUCACGUCGGGUGUGAAAGCCCGGGGCUUAACCCCGGGUCUGCAUUCGAUACGGGCUAGCUAGAGUGUGGUAGGGGAGAUCGGAAUUCCUGGUGUAGCGGUGAAAUGCGCAGAUAUCAGGAGGAACACCGGUGGCGAAGGCGGGUCUCUGGGCCGUAACUGACGCUGAGGAGCGAAGGCCAGGGGAGCAAACGGG
This 253-nucleotide ribosomal RNA is filed under the name uncultured bacterium. RNAcentral's name for it is "partial 16S ribosomal RNA". It matches the Rfam family "Bacterial small subunit ribosomal RNA", at positions 524 to 776 of the family's 1533-position model. The record is from RNAcentral.